UGAGCAAUCUGCCCUUCUCAUCGGAAUAAGCGUUGGAAACGACGUCUAAUGCCGAAUACGACUUCCUUUCGCAUGAUCGGAGGUGGAAAGCUCCGGCGGAGAAGGACGAGCUCGCGGCCUAUCAGCUAGUUGGUGUGGGUAAUGGCCCACCAAGGCGACGACGGGUAGCCGGCCUGAGAGGGUGACCGGCCACACUGGGACUGAGACACGGCCCAGACUCCUACGGGAGGNAG
This 233-nucleotide ribosomal RNA is filed under the name uncultured bacterium. RNAcentral's name for it is "partial 16S ribosomal RNA". It matches the Rfam family "Bacterial small subunit ribosomal RNA", at positions 118 to 351 of the family's 1533-position model. The record is from RNAcentral.